AUCCUCUGGCUUCUUUUCUAUAAGCUGGUAUCCCUGUGUAUUGGGGAUGUGUUUGGCUCAUGAAGCUUAUGAGUUCCAUAUUAUUAUUAACUGCUUCACAGAGGAAAAAAAAUCCAUAAACUUAAAAAGCCAGGGGCCGGCCCCGUGGCGCAGUGGUUAAGUUCGUACGUUCCGCUUCCUGGUGGCCCCGGGCUCGCCGGUUCGGAUCCCGGGUGCGGACAUGGCGCCGCCUGGCAAAAAGCCAUGCUGUCGUAGGCGUCCCACGUAUAAAGUAGAGGAAGAUGGGCACGGAUGUUAGCUCCGGGCCAGGCUUCCUCAGCAAAAGAGAGGAGGACUGGCAGUAGUUAGCUCAGGGCUAAUCUUCCUAAAAAAAAAAACAAACCAGCUAAUUAUAUGACUUCUGAUCCAAUUCAGGGCACGCUUUUGCCCCAGGACUCUAGUUGAUGGCAAUGAGUGGCCAAGGCCCUGUGCUCGCAAGGAGGAAUGGAAAAGAAUGUUGAGAAUGACUCCAGCAAGUCCCAGCAUGGCCCGGACACCAGAUGAAGGCUUGUGGUUGGGUCAGGAGAAGCAGCUGUGAACACAUUUCUUAAUUGUGGCCAUGACUUCUAUUUUUAAGCACUUCCAGAAGUCCUCAGGGCGGCUGAGGAUCAUUCUACACUCCUGCUUUAAUCAUGCUCAGGCCGUCUGAGUCUGCACCUGGAAGAUUAGCCCUAAGCUAACUGCUGCCAAUCCUCCUCUUUGCACUGAGGAACACUGGCCGUGAUCUAACAUCCGUGCCCAUCUUUCUCUACUUUAUAUGUGGGAUGCCUACCACAGCAUGGUUUGCCAAGCAGUGCCAUGUCCACACCCAGGAUCCAAACCGGCGAACACCGGGCCACUGAAGCGGAACGUGCAAACCUAACCUCUGGGCCAUCGGGCCGGCCCCCAUACCAGCUAGUUUUUAUGGAGCGCUAUAGCAGAUGGUGUGGAUGCCUCAUCUCUGACCUCACCUCCAGCCACAGGGAACAGCUUCUGUGCACACUGGAAACUUCUUAUCUUAAGUGUCCAAGUCUCUUUGUUUCUCUUCUUGCAACCAAAAAAGUUUGUUCAGCUCAUGUGCAAGGCUGCUAGAAGUGCUGAAAAUUAAUGCUCUAGGGUCAACUCUUAAGCAACGAGGGCUGAAAGUCAGUGAAUAAAUACGCCGCUUCACCAUCCCUUGGUCGGAUAAUUCUGAAGGAUGCUUCUCAGAGGGUCUUCAGCAGGACUGAGCCCCAGCUGCCCACAGUGGCAAUCAGCUCACCGAUGCACACUUCAUUGGCAUUCCUCCCUCCCCUGCCUUGCUUCUCCCGCUUUUGUUUCUUGGGAUCAUCUUCUCA
Molecule: long non-coding RNA, 1355 nt
Filed under: Equus caballus (horse)
Lineage: Eukaryota; Metazoa; Chordata; Mammalia; Perissodactyla; Equidae
Description: lncRNA (ENSECAG00000055892.1)
Source: RNAcentral